UUCCGGUUGAUCCUGCCGGACCCGACUGCUAUUUGGGUGAGAAUAAGCCAUGCGAGUCGAAUGGGAUUCCUAAAUUUCCCAUGGCAAACUGCUCAGUAACACAUGAUCAACUUACCCUAUAGAGAAAAAUAACCUCGGGAAAGUAGCAUAGUGGCUGAAAUAUAAUUAUGUUACCCCGAGACUGAGGAUAAUAUUUCAUAAUUGAAUCGGCUUGGAAAAGUUUUUCAAUUAAAAGGAUAAAAAAAAUGGUUUUUAUUCGCUAUAGGAUAGGAUCGUGGACGAUUAUGGUUGUUGGUGAGGUAACGGCUCACCAAGCCGAUAAUCGAUAGGGGCCGUGAGAGCGGGAGCCCCGAGAUGGGUACUGAGACAACGACCCAGGCCUUACGAGGCGCAGCAGGCGCGGAAACUCCGCAAUACACGAAAGUGUGACGGGGUUACCCAAAGUGUUCAAUUUUGGACUGUGGUAGGUGAGUAAUGUUCCCUACUAGAAAGGAGAGGGCAAGGCUGGUGCCAGCCGCCGCGGUAAAACCAGCUCUUCAAGUGGUCGGGAUAAUUAUUGGGCUUAAAGUGUCCGUAGCCGGUUUAGUAAGUUCCUGGUAAAAUCGGGUAGCUUAACUAUCCGUAUGCUAGGAAUACUGCUAUACUAGAGGGCGGGAGAGGUCUGAGGUACUACAGGGGUAGGGGUGAAAUCUUAUAAUCCUUGUAGGACCACCAGUGGCGAAGGCGUCAGACUGGAACGCGCCUGACGGUGAGGGACGAAAGCCAGGGGAGCGAACCGGAUUAGAUACCCGGGUAGUCCUGGCCGUAAACGAUGCAUACUAGGUGAUGGUGCGGCCAUGAGCCGUAUCAGUGCCGUAGGGAAACCGUUAAGUGUGCCGCCUGGGAAGUACGGUCGCAAGGCUAAAACUUAAAGGAAUUGGCGGGGGGAGCACACAGGGGUGAAGCCUGCGUCAAUGGAGUCACGCGGA
This 968-nucleotide ribosomal RNA is filed under the name uncultured archaeon. RNAcentral describes it as "bacterial SSU rRNA". It matches the Rfam family "Archaeal small subunit ribosomal RNA", at positions 1 to 921 of the family's 1478-position model. The record is from RNAcentral.